AGAGUUUGAUCCUGGCUCAGAUUGAACGCUGGCGGCAGGCCUAACACAUGCAAGUCGAGCGGUAGAGAGAAGCUUGCUUCUCUUGAGAGCGGCGGACGGGUGAGUAAUGCCUAGGAAUCUGCCUAGUGGUGGGGGAUAACGUUCGGAAACGGACGCUAAUACCGCAUACGUCCUACGGGAGAAAGCGGGGGACCUUCGGGCCUCGCGCCAUUAGAUGAGCCUAGGUCGGAUUAGCUAGUUGGUGAGGUAAUGGCUCACCAAGGCGACGAUCCGUAACUGGUCUGAGAGGAUGAUCAGUCACACUGGAACUGAGACACGGUCCAGACUCCUACGGGAGGCAGCAGUGGGGAAUAUUGGACAAUGGGCGAAAGCCUGAUCCAGCCAUGCCGCGUGUGUGAAGAAGGUCUUCGGAUUGUAAAGCACUUUAAGUUGGGAGGAAGGGUAGUAACUUAAUACGUUGCUACUUUGACGUUACCGACAGAAUAAGCACCGGCUAACUUCGUGCCAGCAGCCGCGGUAAUACGRAGGGUGCAAGCGUURWUCGGAAUUAYUGGGCGUAAAGCGCGUGUAGGCGGUYUGWUWAGUCUGRUGUGAAAGCCCUGGGCUCAACCYRGGAAGUGCAUUGGAUACUGKCARACUUGARUACGGGAGAGGRUAGUGGAAUUYCKAGUGUAGGRGUGAAAUCCGUAGAUAUUMGRAGGAACACCGGUGGCGAAGGCGGCUAYCUGGACCGAUAYUGACGCUGAGACGCGAAAGCGUGGGKAGCAAACAGGAUUAGAUACCCUGGUAGUCC
Molecule: ribosomal RNA, 793 nt
Filed under: uncultured bacterium
Lineage: Bacteria
Description: partial 16S ribosomal RNA
Rfam family: Bacterial small subunit ribosomal RNA
Source: RNAcentral